ACAAAUAGAAACAUUUGCUAAAAUGUAAAAUUAUUUAAAGAGGUUAUCUUACCCCACAACUGGGGUAAGAAGCUCACCCUGGCUAAACUUUUACAGAAUGUUGCCUUUAAAAUGACUUUUAAUAUAAUUUUUAUUAAUAUUUACAUAUUUAAUUGUUCAUAUUUCAAUUGAAGAUAUGUCAUAAUAGCAACACUUUGAAUGCAAACUGAACGAUUUCACUCAACUAACAGGUUUUAAUAAAAGCGAAUUAGAUGUCUGAAAUGUACAUCUAAUAAUUCGUGGAAAUGCUGAAUAAUAACCCCAUUAAUUGCAAUAAUUAUUAAAUUUUAAAAUAACACUAGUAACAAAAUGCCUUCUGUGCCAGUUCCGGGGGAUCAUCUUACCCCAAAGGCAUCUUUUUACUUCAAAAUAAAAACUUUUACUCCACAAAAUCUAACAACAUUAUUGUGUCCACAAGUCCCUGAUUAACAGAUAGAUACGAAAAAACUUUGAUAUUCAACAUGAUCACUAUUUUCCAAAGACACAAAAUUAGAUCAUUUAACCUCAAAACUGUUUUGGCUGAUGUUGAUAUUCAGAUGAACUGACAAAAUUAAAAAUAGUGUAGUCAUUCAUCAAAAGUGCUGAGAUGAGAUUUUGUGUCAUCUGGUCAGGAGAAAAAAAAUUAAGGUGGGGGUGGGGGUGUCAUCUUACCCCAACUUACCCUGCUGGUGCUGUGUGUAUUUGAAAACUGCUGGUUCAUUGCUUGAAACUUGAAACUAUUAUAUCGUGAUAUGUUAUUGAGCAAUUAUAUGUUUUUUUUUUUUCAAUAGUGGACAUGGAAAUGUGUUGUAACGUCCUUUGUUGCAAAAUCAGUGGUUAAACUUUUUUUUCCCCCUGUAUCAAAACCACAGUUGACAAUAGCCAUUGACAUCCAUAUGUUUUUUUUUUUUUCUACUAUGGAAGUCAGUUGCUACCGUCCACUAUCUGGUUACCAACAUUCUUCAAAAUAUCUUCUUUUGUGUUCAACGGAAGAAAGAAACUCAUUCAGAUUUGGAACAACUUGAGGGUUCUGCUGUCAGCUCAGAAGGGUGGUGGUCAUGUGAUCUGUUCCCGUUGCUCAUUUCCAGAGCCGUCUAAGCUUACGAUACUCCUACAUCCUACGUCAUACAUCGCGCCAGAGGAUUACUCAUUUGGCAAAAGUCGACUAGCGCAUUCUGUGUACGGUCGUCUACCGGAAGCUAGUUAUUUGAAUUUAUAAAGUUUUAAAUAUGGAUAUUUUUCUAACAAAAACGCAUCGCUUCACUUCAGAAGGCCUUUUUUAACUCACUCAAGUCGUAUGUAUUACUUUUCUUAUGGAUGGAUGCAUUAUUUUGAAAGAAGAUAGUCAUAUACACCUAGGAUGGCUUGAGGGCGAGUAAAUCAUGGGAUAAUUUUCAUUUUUGGGUGAACUAUCCCUUUAAUAUGUUUUUUUUUUUAAUUACCAGUUUAAACAGGUAAAAAUCCUUACAUUUAUUUACAUGGUAAGCAAUACUUUUAGAAUUUUAAGCAUCCAACACUUUUUAUUUUACUUUGAAUGAUUAAUGACAUACAUCGAUCUUCUACGAUCCUGGUGAGUAAUCAGAUCAAACUCACUCUGAUUUGACUCAAGUCGCAAUGCAUGCUGGGUAAUCAGCAGUACCACAUUUUAAGGCUGUGUCUGAAAUUGCAUACUUCCCUACGAUAUAGUAGGCUAAAAACAGUAUGUGAUAAUAGAAGUACUCAUAAAAGAGUAGGCAAAAAGUACCCGGAUGACUUAAUACUUCCGAUGAGAUUGUGAAGUGUACAUACAAAGGACACUUUACUAUCCCAUGAGGCCACGGGAGAGGAUUUGUGAAUGGCGGUGAAGCGACACAACUGAUGCUGAAGUAAGCUAUUUUCUGUGAAUGUGCGAGACUUCCGAUUCAUUAGCAGCUCAUUAGCAGAUUCCACAUUCAACCGCUCCAGACACAUCGACGCAUUCGCCAUCUUGGAAAAGUUAACAAGACGCUGACGAGACCUCUCAGAGGUGAGAAUGUGCUGAUUUGUGUUUUUAUGUAUAACUCAAUAUCCAAUAUCCAUAGGCCUAUGCAGAAUUAUCACCAAUUAUCACACCAUUACCAAUGGUUAAUGGUGUGAAAACAAUUUGUU
This is a long non-coding RNA of Megalobrama amblycephala (Wuchang bream), 2145 nucleotides long. RefSeq lists it as uncharacterized. The record is from RefSeq and is a predicted model, not a curated record. The transcript is spliced from 3 exons. NCBI's taxonomy places the organism in Eukaryota, Metazoa, Chordata, Actinopteri, Cypriniformes, Xenocyprididae.